CGGCUGAGCUGAGCUAGCUGACCAGUCAGGUACACUGACGUGUCACCCUGCCGCGACCCUGGCGCACUACACCCAUUCAGUACCAGUCGACGCGACGCGACACGACGUCAUUUCUGAAUUAAUUCUGUGUGCUGUGAAUUGAUCAACGACAAGCAACAUGGCGAAAGAGCGGCUCUUCGCCGCAAUCUUAGGAAUUGUUUUCCUUGCAGGCAUUCAUGUAUCAGCUGAGGGUGAUGGGCAAGUGAUGAGUGCCAGAGUAGAGAGCUGCACUGGGUGACGUUUGAAUAAGCUUCCAGAAGUGAAGCAAUUCAUCAAUGAGGACAUCCCUUAUUACCAUAAUGUAAACUUCAAGCCAGUGCCUGGGGCCAAUCCUGAUCUGUUGCUUCUCGAUGAGUCGGGCAACAUAGUGCGGAGGAUUGACCUGUCCAAGAUGAAGCGAGCAGAGCUGAAUGCCAUGAUGACCGAGGAGCUGGGAUUCUACAAGAAAGGAAACCUCGCGGAAGACGUGCCUGACGAGCAUUCCACAGGCCCCUAUUCUUCCAAGAAAGAACUGUAAUUUUCUUUUUCCCUUUCCAUCAACGUCCCAAAAUACAAUUCCUGCUGUCCUGUAGAGUAAGAGAGAGCGAGAGAGAGAAUUAUUUCAUUUGUAAACUCAUAAUAAAUUAAGCAUGGUGCCAGAAUUAUGUUAUGCGAUUAGAUUUGUGUCAAUAUCUGUUCUAAAGUAAGUUCAUGAUGUUGGAAGUUUAAGGCAAUUGGAACUUUCAGGUCAUCUUCAAAAAUGCAUCGCUGCCCUAUAGAGAUAGGUAGAGAGAGAGAAUUUUUGAUUUGUAGACUCAUAAUAAAUGAACCAUGGUGCCAUAAUUUUAAGUGAUGUUAUUUUUGUCAGUGUCUCUGUUCCAAAGUAAUAAGUUCAUGAUGUUAUAAAUUAAAGGUCAGGUUGAAAUAAUGAAAGGGGAUGCAAAUUACGAAUAAAUUAUGUGCUGCUCUGUAUUCUUGAAUGCAAAUGAGGUCAAUUGUCAAGCUUGGAAAGGUAAUAAAUCAUUGAGUCGCAAAGUUCUACUCACAGUAAAUGUGUAUGUGCUAAACAUUGUGUAUCAAUUUUGAGAAUUUCAAAGAUAAUGUACAAAAUUGUCCAAUAAAUUGGAAAGGUCUAACCAUCUUGUGCUAAGUACCAAUCGUGCACUUUGAAGAAUAGGAGAAUAUCACUGAAAUCAUAUUUCAAUAUGUAUGUUUGGAUUAUGUAGUGCCCAGAAUCUACUUAAAAUGGCAAUGUUAUUGGUCACAAAAUUCAUCAAGAUGGAAUGGAAUCAUUGAAAUAUAGAUAUAUGACACAUCCUAAAGGUAUAUCGUGUCUACAUGUAUAUAUACCUGUUAAACACAGUUUCUAUGUCGCUAAGCACUCAUAACCCUUUCUCAGAUGUGUAGUAGCAAAACAGAAGUAUUUUCUGGUGAUUGCAAAAUUGACAGCCUACUGUUAUUUAGCAAAUACUCAUCUGAGGAAGAUGUCUAAAGUGCAGACAACAAAGUGGGUAAAUUACAGGCAAAAGCCUUUUGGAUUUGGAUGUGUCAUUGAACUGUGUUAAUGUUCAAGUGUUAUAUAAUGAUUCUCAUGAAUGACAAAUUUUCCAGUGUGUAUUGUAUUACAUGUAGUUAUCUAAACUGCUUGGCAUUGAUGACUCCUAACAUUUUAUGUUAUGAUAAUCUCACACAUCUAAUUCAACACGUUGUUCUUACAGCACACAUAGUACUUGAAUGUAGAAUUCAGUGCAGUAUCUAAAUGCCAGAUUAUAUCUCCUUGGUUUGGUGAACAGAUGCGAUCACUUCUUUUCUCCAGUGCAUAUUAAACACCCUUUGUGCUAAAAGCAAGCACGGAAGAAUUCCAAAAAAAAUGGGGGAUGGGGGGGGGGGGGGGGGGGGGGGUACAUAACUAAAUUCUCUCUAACAUGGGUAAUCACUAGUGACAUUGGUUAGAAAAUAUACGCCUACUUUCAACCUCCAAAAUUGCUUUGAUAUGCAUUUCCAUUCCUAGUGACUUGAUUCCCAACUGUCUUGAUGUAUCUGAGAGGUUACCAGAUAUAAAUUACAAUAUGGCUUCAUGAGGAAAUAUAUGAGUUUAUAGACGAACAUAGCUGAGAUGGAAUAAUGAUAUGAACACUUAUGUUUAUGUGAAUCGUGUCUUGUUGAUAUUUUUAAGCAAUACCGGUAUGUAGAAAUUACUUUUUAGUGUUGUGUGCUGGACUCAGUUGACUGUAUAAUUUGCUAUGUGCCAGCAGAAAGGCACUUGCAGGGAUUUCCUAAUGCUUUAGUGCAUUAGAGUUUCUCCUACCAAUGCCCUUUUGCCUCAUGUUUCUUUGUGGAGUGUUAAUUUAGGUGCUUAAAAUGUGUAGCUUGUUCCUGUUAAUAAGAAGUUUCUCUGCAAAUUCUUACCUGAAAUGUUGUGCUACUAAAUUGUCUUUAUAUUGACAAUAAUUAUACAUGUAUGUAUGUAUCUCUCUCUCUCUCUCUCUCUCUCUCUCUUUAUCUAGCCCUCUCUCUCUCUUUCACUCUAUUCCAUUACAAGAGCUAUACCCUUAAGUUGAACAUUUCAAACAUUGCACAAGACUCCAAUGAUAUCUUAUAACCUGCAAUAAUGAUGCUAGUGGCACAAACUUUUCUCGAAAGUCGCAACUGGUUGAUAGGAACUACUUCCGCCUGGUUACUUGGAUAUUUUUGGAUUGUCUUUAUUGUUUGGAAUGUAUUUAUUUUAUUGUAGUGGAUGAUGUUAACAAUUUGUUUCUCAUGCCAAUGUUCAUGUAUAUAAUUUGAAUGAUAUAAAUGAUUCUAAAUUUACAG
Strongylocentrotus purpuratus (purple sea urchin) is the source of this 2832-nucleotide long non-coding RNA. RefSeq annotates it as selenoprotein M. Lineage: Eukaryota; Metazoa; Echinodermata; Echinoidea; Camarodonta; Strongylocentrotidae. The record is from RefSeq and is a predicted model, not a curated record. The transcript is spliced from 4 exons.